AUUGAACGCUGGCGGCAGGCUUAACACAUGCAAGUCGAGCGGGGUGAUGGUGCUUGCACUAUCACUUAGCGGCGGACGGGUGAGUAAUGCUUAGGAAUCUGCCUAUUAGUGGGGGACAACAUCUCGAGUGGGAUGCUAAUACCGCAUACGUCCUACGGGAGAAAGCAGGGGAUCACUUGUGACCUUGCGCUAAUAGAUGAGCCUAAGUCGGAUUAGCUAGUUGGUGGGGUAAAGGCCUACCAAGGCGACGAUCUGUAGCGGGUCUGAGAGGAUGAUCCGCCACACGGGGACUGAGACACGGCCCAGACUCCUACGGGAGGCAGCAGUGGGGAAUAUUGGACAAUGGGGGGAACCCUGAUCCAGCCAUGCCGCGUGUGUGAAGAAGGCCUUAUGGUUGAAAAGCACUUUAAGCGAGGAGGAGGCUCUUUUGGUUAAUACCCAAGAUGAGUGGACGUUACUCGCAGAAUAAGCACCGGCUAACUCUGUGCCAGCAGCCGCCGCAG
Molecule: ribosomal RNA, 503 nt
Filed under: uncultured bacterium
Lineage: Bacteria
Description: partial 16S ribosomal RNA
Rfam family: Bacterial small subunit ribosomal RNA
Source: RNAcentral